RNAcentral lists this long non-coding RNA (316 nucleotides) under Lathyrus oleraceus (garden pea). RNAcentral's name for it is "Pisum sativum (pea) long non-coding RNA (PSAT_LNC011192)". The record is from RNAcentral. Lineage: Eukaryota; Viridiplantae; Streptophyta; Magnoliopsida; Fabales; Fabaceae.
UUUUUUCCAACCUCUGAAUACGAGUUCACCCGUGGCUGUUAGAUGAGAUGUGAACCAUGACAUGUAGUUCAAUCUAUCUAAGAAACCACGAGUCUCUCUUUUAUGUUCUCGGUUCAGGCAUUUCUCUUUUUUUUUUUUUUUUUUUUUUUAAAACAGGACCAACCUCGAUUCCUCUCUUACAAUGAACCCCAACAUCUUACCGGACCGCACUCUGAUAGUGCACUUAUCUGAAUUCAACCUUAGUCUGAAUUAUCUCAACUUGUCAAAUAGCUUGGCCAGAUCUGCCAGAUGCCCCUCUUCUGUCUGGGACUUUGCU